AGGAUGAACGCUGGCGGUCUGCUUAACACAUGCAAGUCGAGCGAGAGCCUGGGGGCUUGCCCCCAGGGGACAGCGGCGAACGGGUGCGUAACACGUGGGCAACCUGCCCCUCUCUCUGGGAUAACCCCCGGGAAACCGGAGCUAAUACCGGAUACUCCGAUCGAACCACAUGGCUUGAUCGGGAAAGGUCCGCCGGAGAGGGAUGGGCCCGCGGCCUAUCAGCUUGUUGGUGAGGUAACGGCUCACCAAGGCGACGACGGGUAGCUGGUCUGAGAGGACGACCAGCCACACUGGAACUGAGAUACGGUCCAGACUCCUACGGAGGCAGCAGUGGGGAAUAUUGCGCAAUGGGCGAAAGCCUGACGCAGCGACGCCGCGUGGGGGAUGAAUGCCUUCGGGUUGUAAACCCUUUCGGCAGGGACGAAGCGAACGUGACGGUACCUGCAGAAGAAGUCCCGGCUAACUACGUGCCAGCAGCCGC
RNAcentral lists this ribosomal RNA (481 nucleotides) under uncultured bacterium. RNAcentral describes it as "SSU rRNA". It matches the Rfam family "Bacterial small subunit ribosomal RNA", at positions 26 to 518 of the family's 1533-position model. The record is from RNAcentral.